GGCGCCCGCACACAAAGCCCCUUUCACGGACUCGGGCUCGACUUCUGCUGCUCCGGAGGUUUGGUUAACCCCGUGGCAUGUCAGGGGAACAACUGAUCACCCCUCUGGUGUGCUGGCACUGGGGUUCAAGGUACUCAGGCACCCUCAAGUCACAGGAGUUUAUCAUGAAGAAGGCUGUAAGGCCAAGAACUAAGGCCAACAGGUAAAGGUGCGGGGUGCCCACAGCAGCAGGCCUUCCUGUCUGGAAGGGAGGUGCUGCCCCGCCCUCAACCCACUCGAGCCUUGGAUACUGUCUGGGGUUUCUUGGCAAGUAGAGUUUUUAGACUCUGCCGUUAAUGGUCCCCAGCUACUCACCAAAGCUGCUUCUCUGUCUUCCGGCUUCUGCUCCUGCCACACACUGAGCACAUCUGGGGAAAGCACCUCACAGGGUCAGAGAAGUGCAAAUGCCUACAACGUCAGUCACCUGUCUCAUCGCGUCCUGUUCUUUGUAGCCAUUGCGCUCCUAUGGAUACCCUAA
Molecule: long non-coding RNA, 517 nt
Filed under: Bos mutus (wild yak)
Lineage: Eukaryota; Metazoa; Chordata; Mammalia; Artiodactyla; Bovidae
Description: lncRNA (ENSBMUG00000004295.1)
Source: RNAcentral